RNAcentral lists this ribosomal RNA (492 nucleotides) under uncultured Anaerolineaceae bacterium. RNAcentral's name for it is "bacterial SSU rRNA". It matches the Rfam family "Bacterial small subunit ribosomal RNA", at positions 909 to 1382 of the family's 1533-position model. Lineage: Bacteria; Bacillati; Chloroflexota; Anaerolineae; Anaerolineales; Anaerolineaceae. The record is from RNAcentral.
GCGCCUUGCCAGCCCGCUCAGAAACUACAAUGAUUGACGGGCCCCGCACAAGCAGCGGAGCGUGUGGUUUAAUUCGAUGCUACACGAAGAACCUUACCAGGGUUUGACAUACAAGUAGUAGGAAAGGAAACUGGACCGACCCUUCGGGGAGCUUGAACAGGUGCUGCAUGGCUGUCGUCAGCUCGUGUCGUGAGAUGUUCGGUUAAGUCCGCUAACGAGCGCAACCCUCGCUGUGUGUUACAAGUGUCACACGGAACUGCCGGUCAUAAACCGGAGGAAGGUGGGGAUGACGUCAAGUCAGCAUGGCCUUUAUAUCCUGGGCUACACACACGCUACAAUGGGAAGGGACAAUAGGUUGCGAAGCCGCGAGGCGGAGCCAAUCCAGCAAAACUUCCCUCAGUUCAGAUUGCAGGCUGCAACUCGCCUGCAUGAAGUUGGAGUUGCUAGUAAACGCAGGUCAGCCAUACUGCGUUGAAUACGUUCCCGGGGCUU